CUCUUAUGUCUGUGUCGUCGACAUUUGAACAUUUUUGAGCGGUCCGCUCUUUCUGACUGUAAACAAAGCCGUUCUCCACCUCCUCUAACCUGAUUGGUUGUGAGGCAGACGCUGCUCCCCCGUGUCGUUCAGGAGCCCAAACAAAGUUAGCGUGCUACAAUAUCGGACAGUAGAAACCAACCAGAAAGUUCGGAAAAUUGUCUGAAUCCUCCUUUGGCCACGACUGCCGACACAAGCAAGAAAACACUCAAACAUAAACAGUCAGCAAGAAAACAGUCAGCAAGAAAACUGUCAACAGGAAAACGGUCAACACCAAAACAGUCAACAAAAAACAGUCAACAAGAAAACAGUCAACAAGAAAACAGUCAGCAAGAAAACAGUCAACCAUAAUCAGUCAACAAGAAAACAGUCAGCAAAAAACAGUCGACCAUAAACAGUCAACACCAAAACAGUCAGCAAGAAAACAGUCAGCAAGAAAACAGUCAACAAGAAAACAGUCAGCAAGAAAACAGUCAGCAAGAAAACAGUCAACCAUAAUCAGUCAACAAGAAAACAGUCAGCAAAAAACAGUCGACCAUAAACAGUCAACACCAAAACAGUCAACACCAAAACAGUCAGCAAGAAAAC
Molecule: non-coding RNA, 627 nt
Organism: Xyrichtys novacula (pearly razorfish)
Lineage: Eukaryota; Metazoa; Chordata; Actinopteri; Labriformes; Labridae
Source: the annotation of a GenBank genome assembly